Molecule: non-coding RNA, 324 nt
Organism: Chrysemys picta bellii (western painted turtle)
Lineage: Eukaryota; Metazoa; Chordata; Testudines; Emydidae
Source: RefSeq, a predicted model, not a curated record
UUAGGCCACACUGCCUCUUGGAAGGGUGUAGGCAGGACUGCUGAAGGAAGCCUUUAGUGUGUUUCUUUUAUCCACCUCCACAGCCCACACCAGUAGUUGCCUGCCUUCCAUUGUGUCCCUGGCCGUGCUGAGCGCCCUGAUGCUGUUGACGGUGUCUCUGAGUCUCAUCUGGACCCUCUGCCCUUCCAGGCUAGGAUUGCCGCCCAGGAGCUCAGCGCCUCCAGCUUCACAGGAGAAUCAGGGUGGAAUCUUAUACGCUCAUCUGGAUUUUGAUUCGCGGAAUCGUGAUGGGCGCAAGAUGCAGCAACCGGCCAGAGGGAAGAG